This 67-nucleotide transfer RNA is filed under the name Cryptotermes bracketti. RNAcentral describes it as "tRNA-Trp". Lineage: Eukaryota; Metazoa; Arthropoda; Insecta; Blattodea; Kalotermitidae. The record is from RNAcentral.
AAGGCCUUAAGUUAAAAAAACUAGUAACCUUCAAAGCUAUAAAUAAAGAAUGUCUCUUUAGGCCUUA